AAGAUCAUCCAACUUCAGUGGGUUCCAGAGUCACCUGUCUGGCUACCCCAGAGUGACCUGCUCAGAUCUGGGCUGGGAUCUGCCAAUGCGCAUUUCUGACAGGUUCACUGGAAGGGUGAUGCUAAUGAUCUGGCACUGGCUUUAGAGCUGGGAGCUGGUUGGAAGUUAACCCCAGGGGACAGGAAACAUCUAGACCUUCAUAUGUGUGCUGGAGUUAUGCGGUCUUCUCAGUUUUGUUUUCCGGUUUGCAUCUGGGGAAGAGAAUCUUUGAAUUUGAUCCCUCCAAUAAAAAUUCUUCUUGCCCAAAC
Molecule: long non-coding RNA, 308 nt
Filed under: Ictidomys tridecemlineatus (thirteen-lined ground squirrel)
Lineage: Eukaryota; Metazoa; Chordata; Mammalia; Rodentia; Sciuridae
Description: lncRNA (ENSSTOG00000031153.1)
Source: RNAcentral